RNAcentral lists this long non-coding RNA (253 nucleotides) under Pelobates cultripes (western spadefoot toad). The record is from RNAcentral. Lineage: Eukaryota; Metazoa; Chordata; Amphibia; Anura; Pelobatidae.
CUAGUCUCCCAGUGUCUGUGUUCCCAUGUCUGUUUCCCUAGUGUCUUAGUGUCCCCAAAUGUUUCAGUGUCCCCAUGUCUCCCAGUGUCUGUGUCCCUAGAGUCUCAGUGUCCCCAUUUCUCCCAGUCUCCCUAAAUGUCUCAGUGUCCCCAUGUCUCCCAGUGUCUCCAUGUCUCUGUGUCCCCGGGUCUCUCAGUGUCCCCAUGUCUCUCAGUGUCCCCAGUAUCCUAGUGACAUGGGGACACACUGAGAC